GACAGAGGCCCCGAGCGUUAGGCGGAAUCACUGGGCUUAAAGCGUGUGUAGGCGGACCCCUAAGUGUCUUGUGAAAUCCCACGGCUCACCCGUGGAACUGCUGGGCAUACUGGGGGUCUUGGGCCGUUCAGGGGCGACUGGAACAAGCGGUGGAGCGGUGAAAUGCGUAGAUAUCGCUUGGAACGCCGAAGGUGAAAACAGGUCGCUGGGGACGCGCCGACGCUGAGACACGAAAGCCAGGGGAGCAAACGGG
RNAcentral lists this ribosomal RNA (253 nucleotides) under uncultured bacterium. RNAcentral describes it as "partial 16S ribosomal RNA". It matches the Rfam family "Bacterial small subunit ribosomal RNA", at positions 524 to 776 of the family's 1533-position model. The record is from RNAcentral.